AGCUCUAGAGACCUAGUGGUUAGAUCGUCCGCCUCGGAUGCGGGAGUUCGUGGGUUCGAACCACAGUUGAGUCA
Potamilus streckersoni is the source of this 74-nucleotide non-coding RNA. Lineage: Eukaryota; Metazoa; Mollusca; Bivalvia; Unionida; Unionidae. The record is from the annotation of a GenBank genome assembly.